Molecule: ribosomal RNA, 600 nt
Filed under: uncultured marine eukaryote
Lineage: Eukaryota
Description: SSU rRNA
Rfam family: Eukaryotic small subunit ribosomal RNA
Source: RNAcentral
UGGUUAAAAAGCUCGUAGUUGGAUCUCGGCGGACUGAGGGCGGUUUGCUUGCUAGUAUUACUGCCCUAUAGUCCGUAGUUUUGCCAGAGGUUUCGGGGUGCUCUUAAUCGAGUGUCCCGGGAUGCUGGCAGGUUUACUUUGAAAAAAUUAGAGUGCUCAAAGCAGGCUAUUACGCCUGAAUAUUCGUGCAUGGAAUAAUAGAAUAGGAAGUCGUUUCUAUUUUGUUGGUUUUCGGAAAUCGACUUAAUGAUUAAUAGGGACAGUCGGGGGCAUUUGUAUUCAAACGACAGAGGUGAAAUUCUUGGACCGUUUGAAGACAAACUACUGCGAAAGCAUUUGCCAAGAAUGUUUUCAUUAAUCAAGAACGAAAGUUAAAGGUUCGAAGGCGAUUAGAUACCGCCCUAGUUUUAACCAUAAACGAUGCCAGCUAGCGAUCUGCGGACGUUUUUUUUGUAGACUCCGCAGGAAGCUUCCGGGGAACCAAAGCAUUUGGGUUCCAGGGGAAGUAUGGUUGCAAAGCUGAAACUUAAAGGAAUUGACGGAAGGGCACCACCAGGAGUGGAGCCUGUGGCUAAAUUUGACUCAACACGGGGAAAUCUC